This 575-nucleotide ribosomal RNA is filed under the name Neonectria sp. C_1_BESC_294s. RNAcentral describes it as "eukaryotic LSU rRNA". It matches the Rfam family "Eukaryotic large subunit ribosomal RNA", at positions 1 to 589 of the family's 3401-position model. Lineage: Eukaryota; Fungi; Ascomycota; Sordariomycetes; Hypocreales; Nectriaceae. The record is from RNAcentral.
ACCUCGGAUCAGGUAGGAAUACCCGCUGAACUUAAGCAUAUCAAUAAGCGGAGGAAAAGAAACCAACAGGGAUUGCCCUAGUAACGGCGAGUGAAGCGGCAACAGCUCAAAUUUGAAAUCUGGCCUUCGGGUCCGAGUUGUAAUUUGUAGAGGAUGCUUUUGGUGAGGUGCCUUCCGAGUUCCCUGGAACGGGACGCCAUAGAGGGUGAGAGCCCCGUCUGGUUGGACACCGAUCCUCUGUAAAGCUCCUUCGACGAGUCGAGUAGUUUGGGAAUGCUGCUCUAAAUGGGAGGUAUAUGUCUUCUAAAGCUAAAUAUUGGCCAGAGACCGAUAGCGCACAAGUAGAGUGAUCGAAAGAUGAAAAGCACUUUGAAAAGAGAGUUAAAAAGUACGUGAAAUUGUUGAAAGGGAAGCGCUCAUGACCAGACUUGGGCUUGGUUGAUCAUCCAGGGUUCUCCCUGGUGCACUCUUCCAGUUCAGGCCAGCAUCAGUUCGCUGUGGGGGAUAAAGGCUUUGGGAAUGUGGCUCCCUCGGGAGUGUUAUAGCCCAUUGUGUAAUACCCUGUGGUGGACNGA